Molecule: ribosomal RNA, 239 nt
Filed under: Glomeromycotina sp.
Lineage: Eukaryota; Fungi; Glomeromycota
Description: partial small subunit ribosomal RNA
Rfam family: Eukaryotic small subunit ribosomal RNA (bases 40-239)
Source: RNAcentral
GGGUCAGUAGGUUGGUCGUGCCACCGGUACGUACUGGUCUCACUGAUUCCUCCUUCCUGAAGAACCGUAAUGCCAUUAAUUUGGUGUUGCGGGGAAACAGGACUGUUACUUUGAAAAAAUUAGAGUGUUUAAAGCAAGCUAACGCUUGAAUACAUUAGCAUGGAAUAAUGAAAUAGGACGAUCGAUCCUAUUUUGUUGGUUUCUAGGAUUGACGUAAUGAUUAAUAGGGAUAGGUUGGG